CUGAUGAAUCAUUCAGCUCAUCAA
This 24-nucleotide non-coding RNA is filed under the name Arabidopsis thaliana (thale cress). The record is from RNAcentral. Lineage: Eukaryota; Viridiplantae; Streptophyta; Magnoliopsida; Brassicales; Brassicaceae.